UCCCUGGUAGCUCAGUUGGUAGAGAAUCUGCCUGCAAUGUGGGAGACCCAGGAUAAAUCCCUGGGUUGGGAA
RNAcentral lists this transfer RNA (72 nucleotides) under Capra hircus (goat). It matches the Rfam family "tRNA". From Rfam's summary of the family: Transfer RNA (tRNA) molecules are approximately 80 nucleotides in length. Lineage: Eukaryota; Metazoa; Chordata; Mammalia; Artiodactyla; Bovidae. The record is from Rfam by way of RNAcentral. RNAcentral also lists the same sequence under 1 other name.